This 3483-nucleotide unclassified non-coding RNA is filed under the name Callithrix jacchus (white-tufted-ear marmoset). Its description in RNAcentral is "external transcribed spacer". The stretch from base 1785 to 1879 matches the Rfam family "mir-663 microRNA precursor family". Lineage: Eukaryota; Metazoa; Chordata; Mammalia; Primates; Cebidae. The record is from RNAcentral.
GCUGACACGCUGUCCUCUGGCGACCCGUCGCUGGAGAGGUCGGGCCUCUGGAUGCGUGGGGGGUCUCUGGUCUACCGGUGACCCGGCUAGCCGGCCCUGCUCUGGGUUGAGCCGCCGGCUGGGGCCCGUGUGCCUUGCCUCCCGUGCAUCCGUCUGAGUGUCCCGGCUCCCUGGUGCCGCCCUGGGCCCGGGUCUCUUCCGACUCACCUGGGUGUGGCGGGGAAAGGCCGGUGCGGGCGGGCGGGCUCCCGUCUGCCCGCGUGUGCGCUCCCUGCUGCGGGCACCUGGGGCGGUCGCGACGACCCCGUUCCGUUGGCUCCGUGCCGUGCGUGUCAGGCAUCCUCCUCUCCUCUGGGGUUGUCCGCCGUCCCUUCCCCGGAGCGGGGCUGGCCGGCCUCGGGCCCGUGGGCUCCGUGGCUUUGCUGAGGUUGACUCCUUCGCCCCGCUCUGGGUCUCUUCCGAUCGAUGUGGUGACGUCACGCUCUCCCGGGCCGCGACCGAUCCGCGGUGGGCGAGGGACGGACAUUCUCGGUGAAUGGGACCGCUCUUCUCGUCCCGCCCGCGGGGGCCCCCUUGCCUCUCCUGCACCCUGCCUGUGGGGUCUGGAUCGGGAGGUGUAGGGGGUACGGAAUCCGGCCCGACCUCGCCGUGCUCCCCCGUUCUCCACCUGGCGGGGGCCGGUGGGGUCCUCUGACGCGGCAGGCAUCCCUCGCUCUCGCCUCCUGUGGUUGUUGCCUUGUCGGGGGCGGCCCCUCUCCGCGGCGGUGGGGGGCUCGUCCCGAUGGCCCGUCGUGCUGCCCUCGCCGGGGUGGUGCGAGCGUUGGCUCCGCUUGGGCCUUUUGCGGUGCUCCUGGAGCGCUCCGGGUUGUCCCUCAGGUGCCCGAGGCCGAGCGGUGGUGUCGUUCCCGCCCCCGGGGCCCCCUCCUCCGGUUGCCGCCAUGGGGUCUGCGUGUGGGUCCCGAGGAGAAGCGCUCAGCUCGUCGGAGGGUUGUCGUCGAGGCGAUCGAUCGAGGUUUUGUGCCCCUCGACGCGGGGUUGAGGGGGUGCCUCGGGUUCCGCUCCUCUCGCCGUAGACCUCAUCCCUCCCUUCCCUGGGUGUCCCUGAGCGCCUCCGUGGGCGGCCCGGCGAGGGGCGACCGGUGGGUGGGGGAGUGUGACCCGCCCUCGGUGAGAAAGCCUUCUCUAGCGAUCCCAGAGGUGUGCUUUGGGGGUACCGGACUCCCCCGGCCCGCCGCCUCUCUCUGCGUUGUGGUAGCGCUUCCGCGUGGCGAUUGGAUUCGCUCGUGUGUAGGCAGAGUUCCCUCUUCCUCCUCGGUGGCGGGGAGAAGUGGGGUCCGCCGGUCUCCGCGGUGGGGACCGAGCGCCGCUCGUCGCCUACUGUGGCCCGCGCCUCCCCCCUCUGAGUCGGGGGAGGGUCCCGCCGGGCCGGGCCCUGUGUCCUCGCCGUUGGGGAGGUCGUCGCUUGAAGGCUGGGUGCGUGUGGCGUCCCGUCUGGCGCGUGACCCCCUUCCGCUGCGAGCCGGCUCUCCGCCCGCUCCCGUGCCGUGCCGAGCCCUUGCCGGUGCCGGCGACCGCGCUGUGUGCGGGGCGACGGGUCGGGCCGCCUGGGCCCGGGAAAGCGUCCCCACGGUGGGGCGUGCCGGUCUCCCGGAGCGGGACCGGGUCGCGGAUGGACGAGAUCCUGGGUGUGUCGCCCUGGCGUCGGGCUUGUCGCUGUGGUCGCUCCGGGGCCCCCGGCGGUGGGGUCCGGGUCCCGUGAGGGGUCUCCGCGGUGGUGCCGAGGGCCGGCCGGUGUCCCGGGUGGGAGGGCUGCGGGACCGCCCUCGUGUCUGUGGCGGUGGGAUCCCGUGGUCGUGUCUUCCCCGGUGGCCCGGCUGUGCCCGAGGUUCCCGCCCGGGUCCUCGGCGGGCUCCCGUGCCCCUGCCCUCGUGGGCCCCGGCCCUGCGUGUGCGCCCGCUCCCCGCCGCUGCCUGCCGAUCCUUUCUCUCUGAGCGGCUCUCCGGCUGCGCCGGGGCGGCCCCGUCUGGGACCCGAGCCGGCUCCGCCUUGAGGGGCGUCGCCCCCGGCCACCAUCGGCCGGUGUCCGCGUCCCCCCGGCGUGUGCCUCGGCUUCGCGCACCGGCGGCGGUCGGCCCCGCGCGGGCCCGGUGGGCGUCGGAGAGGUCGGGUCGGCCCGCCGCGUGUGUAGGGAAGACGGUUAUGGGGCGCUGGCCGCGACUGCGGUGGCGGUGUGGGGGAGCCGCGGGCCCCCGAGAGGCGUGCGUGGGUCGCCGAAGGCCAGGCGGCCGCUCCGUGUGCCGCGCGGGACCGCCCCUGUGUGCCCAAACGGGCCGCUGGCGGUGAGACCCCGUUGUGUGUCCACGGCUGCUGCGGUCGUCUGUGCCCGAGGCUUCUCCCCGGAUCCUCGCGGUGGCCCGCCGCCCACCCCCUCCCCGCUCGCCGCCUUCCCCGCGCCUUCCACGGUCGCCUCGGGCUUGCCCGGGGUCUCGUCUCCUCCCGAACCCGCUCUCCCGCUCCGCGUCCGCGCGCCCCGGGUGCGCGCCUCGCUUCCCGGGCCCGCUGGGGCCCCUCCCCGAGGCGUCUUGGGUGUCGACGUCCGGGGGCGGCGGCGUGUCCUUCCCCCGCGUUGCGGGUCCCGUUCGGCGCGUGCGUGCGCCCGAGCGCGCCCCGGUGGUCUCUCCCGGCCAGCCGUCGUGUGUAAGUAAGGUCGACCUCCGGCCUGCCGGCCGCCCGCCCCCCGGUUCGAGGGGGGGGCCCGGGCCGGGACCUCCGGUCCCGGUCCCGGUCCCUCGUUCCGGGUCGGUGGGUCGGCCGGACGGCUUCCGUCGCCUUCUGGCCGUCGUUGUGGGUCGGGGCGGUGCCGGUCACCGGCCCCCCUCCCCUCCUGCGCCUGCGCCCGCCGGCGUGGCCCGGGGUCUGGCCUCGGCCGGCACCCGGACCUCGACCGGGCGGGCGCGCGGGCGCUGCGGCCGCACGGCGUGACUGUCCCCCGGGUCGGGCACCCCGGGCCGCCUCCCGCUCGCCGCCCGAACGCCGGGGCCCCGCCCCGCGGGGUGUGGGUAUCGCCGCGCCCCCUCGCCGCCCCCCACUGCGUCUUCCACGCGCGUGGCCGCCGACCCCCUCCUGGCUGCCCGGCACAAAACGGGUCGGGCGUUGUGCCCUCCACUCGCACGCGGUUGUGGAGAGAGGCGGGGGUGGGGUGUGGGGUUGGUGGUGGUGGAGGUGGAGGUGAUGGGGCGCGUGCGGUGUGCGCGUGGGACUCGUUCCCCGCGCUCCCGCGCCCGCCUCUCUCCCUCCGCCCUUCCUCCGCCCCGCCCCACCCCGCCUCCGCCCCGCCCCACCCCGCCUGGUCCCGCGCCUCCCGGCUACGGGCGGGGACGAUGGCGUUCGCGCCGCCCGCACCCUCCUCCGCCCGCGGUCCGUCCCUCCCUCCCUCUCGUGCCCCCGGACGCCGGGUCCGCCGCCCUCGCGGCCUACCUCGCC